CCGUUGCCGGCGACCGGCGCACGGGUGAGUAACACGUAUGGCAACCUGCCCGUGGCAGGGGGAUAAGCGGGGGAAACCCCGUCUAAUACCGCGUAACGCGGCCUUGGGGCAUCCCAAGGCCGCCAAAGGGAGCAAUCCCGGCCACGGAUGGGCAUGCGGCGCAUUAGCUAGUCGGCGGGGUAACGGCCCACCGAGGCGACGAUGCGUAGGGGUUCUGAGAGGAAGGCCCCCACACUGGUACUGAGACACGGACCAGACUCCUACGGAAGGCAGCAG
RNAcentral lists this ribosomal RNA (276 nucleotides) under uncultured bacterium. RNAcentral's name for it is "partial 16S ribosomal RNA". It matches the Rfam family "Bacterial small subunit ribosomal RNA", at positions 82 to 354 of the family's 1533-position model. The record is from RNAcentral.